Molecule: ribosomal RNA, 429 nt
Filed under: Gemmatimonadota bacterium
Lineage: Bacteria; Pseudomonadati; Gemmatimonadota
Description: Gemmatimonadetes bacterium partial 16S ribosomal RNA
Rfam family: Bacterial small subunit ribosomal RNA
Source: RNAcentral
UAGGGAAUCUUCGGCAAUGGACGAAAGUCUGACCGAGCAACGCCGCGUGAGUGAAGAAGGUUUUCGGAUCGUAAAACUCUGUUGUCAGAGAAGAACAAGGACGUUAGCAACCGAACGCCCCCUGACGGCAUCUAACCAGAAAGCCACGGCUAACUACGUGCCAGCAGCCGCGGUAAUACGUAGGUGGCAAGCGUUGUCCGGAUUUAAUGGGCGUAAAGCGAGCGCAGGCGGUUUCUUAAGUCUGAUGUGAAAGCCCCCGGCUCAACCGGGGAGGGUCAUGGGAAACUGGGAGACUUGAGUGCAGAAGAGGGGAGUGGAAUUCCCUGUGUAGCGGUGAAAUGCGUAGAUAUAUGGAGGAACACCAGUGGCGAAGGCGGCUCUCUGGUCUGUUACUGACGAUGAGGCAAGAAAGCGUGGGGAGCAAACAGG